Molecule: transfer RNA, 80 nt
Filed under: Araneus ventricosus
Lineage: Eukaryota; Metazoa; Arthropoda; Arachnida; Araneae; Araneidae
Description: tRNA-Leu
Source: RNAcentral
UGGCAGCGGUGGGAUCCGAAUCCACGCCUCGAAAGACUGGUGCCUAAAACCAGCGCCUUAGACCACUCGGCUACGCUACU